This 789-nucleotide non-coding RNA is filed under the name Harpalus sp. Lineage: Eukaryota; Metazoa; Arthropoda; Insecta; Coleoptera; Carabidae. The record is from RNAcentral.
AUAAAGUUUAAUUCUGACUUAAAAAUUUAUUUAAUUUUUUUUUUAUAUGUAAAUUUUUGUGUGAAUAUUAAUAAAAUUUUAAAAAUUUUUUUAAAGGAAUUUAUUUGCAGUAUUUAAUAUUAAUAAUUUAAGAAAUUGAGAAUUAGAAAUUGAUUUUAAUAUUAACAAAUUUUGUGCCAGCAGUUGCGGUUAUACAAAAUAUGUAAAUGAAUUUUAUUGGUAAAUAAUUAUAUGGAUUAUUUUAAUAAAUUAAUAUUAUAUUUAUUAGGUGAAAUUUUUAAAUAUAAAUUUAGUUUAUAUAAAAAUUUUUAGUAUUAUGAAAUUUUUUUUUAAACUAGGAUUAGAUACCCUAUUAUUUUAAAUGUAAAAUUUUUUUACUUAAGUAGUAUUAGUUAUGUUCUUGAAAUUUAAAGAUUUUGGCGGUAUUUUAGUCUAUUUAGAGGAACCUGUUCUAUGAUUGAUAAUCCACGAUUGACUUUACUUAUUUUAUAAAUUUGUAUACCAUCGUUUUAAGAAAAUUUUAUAAGAAUAUUAAUUUUUAAUAUUUUAAAUUAAAAGAUAUAUCAGAUCAAGGUGCAGUAUAUAUUUAAGAAGAAAUGGGUUACAAUAAAUUUAUUUAUAUGGAUAAAAGUAAGAAUAAACUUUUUGAAGGUGGAUUUAAUAGUAAUAAAAUUUAAUUUAAUUUUAUGAUUUUAGCUCUAAAAUAUGUACAUAUCGCCCGUCGCUCUUAUUAUAAGAUAAGAUAAGUCGUAACAUAGUAGAUGUACUGGAAAGUGUAUCUAGAAUGAC